UAAGACAGAGGAGGCAAGCGUUGUCCGGAAUUACUGGGCGUAAAGCGCACGCAGGCGGUGCGGGACGUGCGGGGUGAAAUCUUCCGGCUUACCUGGAAGGCUGCCUUGCACACGACCGCACUCGAGCUACGAAGAGGUCGAUGGAAUUGCCGGUGUAGUGGUGAAAUGCGUAGAGAUCGGCAGGAACACCCAGGGAGAAAUCAGUCGACUGGUCGUAUGCUGACGCUCAGGUGCGAAAGCGUGGGGAGCGAACUGGAUUAGAUACCCAGGUAGUCCACGCGGUAAACGAUGCACGCUCGGCAUCUGGUGGCUAUCAACGCCGCUGGGUGCCUCAGCUAACGCGGGAAGCGUGCCGCCUGGGAACUACGAGCGCAAGCUUA
Molecule: ribosomal RNA, 380 nt
Filed under: uncultured bacterium
Lineage: Bacteria
Description: bacterial SSU rRNA
Rfam family: Bacterial small subunit ribosomal RNA
Source: RNAcentral